RNAcentral lists this ribosomal RNA (492 nucleotides) under uncultured bacterium. RNAcentral's name for it is "partial 16S ribosomal RNA". It matches the Rfam family "Bacterial small subunit ribosomal RNA", at positions 29 to 507 of the family's 1533-position model. The record is from RNAcentral.
AGUGAACGCUGGCGGUAGGCCUAACACAUGCAAGUCGAACGGCAGCACAGUAAGAGCUUGCUCUUACGGGUGGCGAGUGGCGGACGGGUGAGGAAUACAUCGGAAUCUACUUUUUCGUGGGGGAUAACGUAGGGAAACUUACGCUAAUACCGCAUACGACCUACGGGUGAAAGCAGGGGAUCUUCGGACCUUGCGCGAUUGAAUGAGCCGAUGUCGGAUUAGCUAGUUGGCGGGGUAAAGGCCCACCAAGGCGACGAUCCGUAGCUGGUCUGAGAGGAUGAUCAGCCACACUGGAACUGAGACACGGUCCAGACUCCUACGGGAGGCAGCAGUGGGGAAUAUUGGACAAUGGGCGAAAGCCUGAUCCAGCCAUACCGCGUGGGUGAAGAAGGCCUUCGGGUUGUAAAGCCCUUUUGUUGGGAAAGAAAAGCAGCAGGUUAAUACCCCGCUGUUCUGACGGUACCCAAAGAAUAAGCACCGGCUAACCUCGUG